GUUGGGAUAGCUCACUCAGUUGAGCAUGAGAUUCUUAAUCUCAGGGUUGUGGGUUCAAGCCCCACGUUGGGCA
Molecule: non-coding RNA, 73 nt
Organism: Podarcis lilfordi (Lilford's wall lizard)
Lineage: Eukaryota; Metazoa; Chordata; Lepidosauria; Squamata; Lacertidae
Source: the annotation of a GenBank genome assembly